UAAAAAAUAAGCUAAUAAAGCUUUUAGGCUCAUACCCUAUUUAUAAAAGUUUUAAUCUUUUUUUUUUAA
Molecule: transfer RNA, 69 nt
Filed under: Trichosia lengersdorfi
Lineage: Eukaryota; Metazoa; Arthropoda; Insecta; Diptera; Sciaridae
Description: tRNA-Met
Rfam family: tRNA
About the family: Transfer RNA (tRNA) molecules are approximately 80 nucleotides in length. Their secondary structure includes four short double-helical elements and three loops (D, anti-codon, and T loops). Further hydrogen bonds mediate the characteristic L-shaped molecular structure. tRNAs have two regions of fundamental functional importance: the anti-codon, which is responsible for specific mRNA codon recognition, and the 3' end, to which the tRNAs corresponding amino acid is attached (by aminoacyl-tRNA synthetases). tRNAs cope with the degeneracy of the genetic code in two manners: having more than one tRNA (with a specific anti-codon) for a particular amino acid; and 'wobble' base-pairing, i.e. permitting non-standard base-pairing at the 3rd anti-codon position.
Source: RNAcentral